AGCCACCCUGCCUUGGAGAAGGGCCUCAAAGAUAGAUUUUUUUUCCCUCUCCAAAUUCUCUGAAGACUGAAGUUCCUUAAGGACUAAGAAAACACUUGUUUCCCUUCCAGCUCCUUUUCCUGAUGCUCCAAGCAACGUUUCUGGAGCCUCCAGAACUGAAGGGCGGACCAAUUCCCUGGAGGAAAGGAAUGGAUUUGGGCCCAGGGGAGCCACAUUUUUUCUCAGCUCUAUGGCAAGCAAGCACCAAGGGUCCAAGGAUCAGGGAGCAUAUUAAAUACACUGUUCUAGGGAUUUCCCUGAUGGUGCAGUGGUUAAGAAUCCACCUGCCAGUGCAGGAGACAUGGGUUUGAGCCCUGGUCCCGGAAGAUCCCACAUGCCGAGGAGCAACUAAGCCUGUGCACCACAACUACUGAGUCUGCGCUCUAGAGCCAGCGAGCCACAACUACUGAAGCCCACGUGCCUAGAGCCCGUGCUCCACAACAAGAGAAGUCACCGCAAUGAGAAGCCCGCACACCACAACAAAAAGUAGCCCCGCUCACCACAACUAGAGAAAGCCUGUGCGCAGCAACGAAGACCCAAUG
This is a long non-coding RNA of Balaenoptera acutorostrata (minke whale), 581 nucleotides long. RefSeq lists it as uncharacterized. Lineage: Eukaryota; Metazoa; Chordata; Mammalia; Artiodactyla; Balaenopteridae. The transcript is spliced from 3 exons. The record is from RefSeq and is a predicted model, not a curated record.